CAGCAGCCGCGGUAAAACGUAGGUGGCAAGCGUUGUCCGGAAUUAUUGGGCGUAAAGGGCUCGCAGGCGGCUUCUUAAGUCUGAUGUGAAAGCCCCCGGCUCAACCGGGGAGGGUCAUUGGAAACUGGGAAACUUGAGUGCAGAAGAGGAGAGUGGAAUUCCACGUGUAGCGGUGAAAUGCGUAGAGAUGUGGAGGAACACCAGUGGCGAAGGCGACUCUCUGGUCUGUAACUGACGCUGAGGAGCGAAAGCGUGGGGAGCGAACAGGAUUAGAGACCCCCGUAGUCCCUGUCUCUUAUAC
Molecule: ribosomal RNA, 301 nt
Filed under: uncultured bacterium
Lineage: Bacteria
Description: partial 16S ribosomal RNA
Rfam family: Bacterial small subunit ribosomal RNA
Source: RNAcentral